This 371-nucleotide long non-coding RNA is filed under the name Zostera marina. Its description in RNAcentral is "long non-coding RNA (ZMAR_LNC000554)". The record is from RNAcentral. Lineage: Eukaryota; Viridiplantae; Streptophyta; Magnoliopsida; Alismatales; Zosteraceae.
UCUCCUGUUAAUAUUCUUCAAGACAACUCUUCACACCUUCCAUCACCGAUCGAUCAAGGUAAAUAAUCUCUCCAACGACGAUUCUCCUCCGUGUCUCUAUUUCUCCCUCUCUCGAUCCCGAUUCUUCGAUGCGAUUCUCUCCUGAAAGGGAGAAAAAGUUGGAUGGAAUUUGAUCUGAAUCUCCGAAAAAUGCGUUUUAAUCUAGGUAUUCUUCGAUAAUACCAUCUCAUCCGAUUGCUUUCUGUUUGUUUUAUUUCUUACAGGGAUCAUGAAUCGGUGUUGGAUCUAAUUAGUAACAACCAUGGAGGCAGCACCAUCCGUAGAUAACGACCGCAGAGCUCCGUCGUCGAGAAAGAGGAGGAAGCCUGCUU